ACAAGGUUGAUUAACCUGAGGUAAAAUCUGGGCAGUGAAUAGCGAUUCCCUAAGUUCGAGAAGAUUAGAAAACUAGACACUUAAAUAGGUCGAGAGACAUUUGGGCAUAUCAUCAAUAAAGCUAGCUUGUUAUCCUAACCACCGUGAGAAUCUUGAGUCACCUUUAGCAUCUGUCAUGUACCGUAAGCCCUAAUGAACAUAAUUCUGGUUAUUUCAUAAAAU
This 222-nucleotide long non-coding RNA is filed under the name Capsicum annuum. Its description in RNAcentral is "long non-coding RNA (CANN_LNC012479)". Lineage: Eukaryota; Viridiplantae; Streptophyta; Magnoliopsida; Solanales; Solanaceae. The record is from RNAcentral.